CGCUUUAGACGCUUCAUCGCUCUUUGCGAAAAGAGAGGAAAGUCCGGACACCAAAGGGCAUCGCACCGCGAGUUAAUGGCGGGCUGUUCGUUUUAAGACGCGCAGACAGAUAGGGCCGCAGAAAGUAAACCGCCUUGAGCAAUUGAGGUAAGGGUGAAAAGGUGGGGUAAGAGCCCACCAGCAGUUCAAGUAAUUGGCUGGCUUGGUAAACCUUGCGAGGUGAAAGCUCAAAUAAACCGAGGCUUGAGGGCGGCUCGCCUAAUCUCGGAGGGUAGAGCGUAUAGAUAAAUGAUGAAGGCCUAUUUCAGGGAAUUGUUGAAAUAGGAACAGAAUCCGGCUUACAAGCUAAAGUGCAAA
This 357-nucleotide RNase P RNA is filed under the name Flavobacteriales bacterium. Its description in RNAcentral is "RNase P RNA component class A". It matches the Rfam family "Bacterial RNase P class A". Rfam says of the family: Ribonuclease P (RNase P) is a ubiquitous endoribonuclease, found in archaea, bacteria and eukarya as well as chloroplasts and mitochondria. Its best characterised activity is the generation of mature 5'-ends of tRNAs by cleaving the 5'-leader elements of precursor-tRNAs. The record is from RNAcentral. RNAcentral also lists the same sequence under 1 other name. Lineage: Bacteria; Pseudomonadati; Bacteroidota; Flavobacteriia; Flavobacteriales.